GACCUAGCGUAGUUCGGAAUUACUGGGCUUAAAGAGUUCGUAGGUGGUUGAAAAAGUUGGUGGUGAAAUCCCAGAGCUUAACUCUGGAACUGCCAUCAAAACUUUUCAGCUAGAGUUUGAUAGAGGAAAGCAGAAUUUCUAGUGUAGAGGUGAAAUUCGUAGAUAUUAGAAAGAAUACCAAUUGCGAAGGCAGCUUUCUGGAUCAUUACUGACACUGAGGAACGAAAGCAUGGGUAGCGAAGAGGAUUAGAUACCCUCGUAGUCCAUGCCGUAAACGAUGUGUGUUAGACGUUGGAAAUUUAUUUUCAGUGUCGCAGCGAAAGCGAUAAACACACCGCCUGGGGAGUACGACCGCAAGGUUAAAACUCAAAUGAAUUGACGGGGACCCGCACAAGUAGUGGAGCAUGUGGUUUAAUUCGAAGAUACGCGCAGAACCUUACCAACACUUGACAUGUUCGUCGCGACUUUAAGAGAUUAAAGUUUUCGGUUCGGCCGGACGAAACACAGGUGCUGCAUGGCUGUCGUCAGCUCGUGUCGUGAGAUGUUGGGUUAAGUCCCGCAACGAGCGCAACCCUCACUUUUAGUUGCCAUCAUUUAGUUGGGCACUCUGAAAGAACUGCCAGUGAUAAGCUGGAGGAAGGUGGGGAUGACGUCAAGUCCUCAUGGCCCUUACGUGUUGGGCUACACACGUGCUACAAUGGUAUUUACAACAGGAAGCAAGACGGCGACGUUAAGCAAAUCCUCAAAAAAUACCUCAGUUCGGAUUGCACUCUGCAACUCGAGUGC
RNAcentral lists this ribosomal RNA (786 nucleotides) under marine metagenome. Its description in RNAcentral is "bacterial SSU rRNA". It matches the Rfam family "Bacterial small subunit ribosomal RNA", at positions 532 to 1319 of the family's 1533-position model. The record is from RNAcentral.